AUUCUGGAAGAAAGCAUGGUUGGCUGAACCAGCUCCCUCCCCAGCUGUUCCUGAAGGAGGGUUGAGGAAGCUUGUUCAGUUCACAGAGUCCACAGAAGGGGAGCCUGCCACACUCACAGAGGAUCCGAGACUCUGCGCCUUGCCAACCCUCUUGGGCUGCCACAUGCACAGAGCACAGAGCUACCCUCAAACGGAGGCCAUCACUUACUGAGUGAUCUUGUCAUGCA
Long non-coding RNA from Mus musculus (house mouse), 227 nucleotides. RefSeq annotates it as predicted gene, 52240. The record is from RefSeq and is a predicted model, not a curated record. The transcript has 3 exons. NCBI's taxonomy places the organism in Eukaryota, Metazoa, Chordata, Mammalia, Rodentia, Muridae.